This 253-nucleotide ribosomal RNA is filed under the name uncultured bacterium. RNAcentral's name for it is "partial 16S ribosomal RNA". It matches the Rfam family "Bacterial small subunit ribosomal RNA", at positions 524 to 776 of the family's 1533-position model. The record is from RNAcentral.
UACGGAGGGGGCUAGCGUUGUUCGGAAUUACUGGGCGUAAAGCGCACGUAGGCGGAUACUUAAGUCAGGGGUGAAAUCCUGGAGCUCAACUCCAGAACUGCCCUUGAUACUGAGGAUCUUGAGUUCGGGAGAGGUGAGUGGAACUGCGAGUGUAGAGGUGAAAUUCGUAGAUAUUCGCAAGAACACCAGUGGCGAAGGCGGCUCACUGGCCCGAUACUGACGCUGAGGCACGAAAGCGUGGGGAGCAAACAGG